This 785-nucleotide ribosomal RNA is filed under the name uncultured Neocallimastigales. Its description in RNAcentral is "partial large subunit ribosomal RNA". It matches the Rfam family "Eukaryotic large subunit ribosomal RNA", at positions 24 to 624 of the family's 3401-position model. The record is from RNAcentral. Lineage: Eukaryota; Fungi; Neocallimastigomycota; Neocallimastigomycetes; Neocallimastigales.
UACGACUACAUAUCAGGCAUAUCAAUAAGCGGAGGAAAAGGAAACUAACAAGGAUUCCCCUAGUAACGGCGAGUGAAGCGGGAAGAGCUCAAAUUUGAAAUCUUAAAGGGUUCUACCUUGACGAAUUGUAGUUUAAAGAAGUGUUUUCUGUUAGAGGAGUUCGGUAAAAGUUCCUUGGAAUAGGGACAUCAUAGAGGGUGAGAAUCCCGUAUUUGACCGUUAUCUUUCCUAGCUUUGUGAUACACCUUUCAAAGAGUCGGAUUGUUUGGGAAUGCAGUCCAAAAUGGGUGGUAAAUUUCAUCUAAAGCUAAAUAUUGGCGAGAGACCGAUAGCGAACAAGUACCGUGAGGGAAAGAUGAAAAGAACUUUGAAAAGAGAGUUAAACAGUACGUGAAAUUGUCAAAAGGGAAGCGUUUGACACCAGUGUUGUUUUUCGAAAAUCAAUUCAAGAGUGGUUUGAUUCUAGUAGUAUUGACUUCAUCAGCUUUCUUCACUUCUUUCUCGAGUAUUAUUGAAUGCACUUUUCAGGUUAACAAGUCAACAUCAAUUUCUUUUGUUGUAAAAGGGUAUAGGAAGGUGGCUUUCUCUUCGGCGCAAGUGUUUAUAGCCUUUAUACCUCUACAAUCGGAGAGAUUGAGGUCUGCAGCGUAGAUCCUUCGGGGUUAGAUACACUUGUGCUAAGCUAUAGCCUUGUAUAGACAACUUGUUGACUAUGCUCAGUCAUGUAGCUUACUCGCUGAUGCUAUUUUACCUACGCUUAGGAUGUUGAUCUACAGAGCGAGAGU